GACCCGUCCUUGAAACACGGACCAAGGAGUCUAACAUGUACGCAAGUCAUGGGGUUGUCUCUUACGAAGAAACCCACAAGGCGCAAUGAAAGUGAAAGGCAACGCUCGUCGUGGCCUGGGCAGGAUCCCCUAACCCUCCGGGGCGGGGCGCACUGCCGGCCCGUCUCGUCUGCAUCGUCGUCCCUCGGGGCUUCGAACUGUCAGUGAGGCGGAGCAAGAGCGCACACGUUGGGACCCGAAAGAUGGUGAACUAUGCUUGAGUAGGACGAAGCCAGAGGAAACUCUGGUGGAGGUCCGCAGCGAUUCUGACGUGCAAAUCGAUCGUCAAACUUGAGUAUAGGGGCGAAAGACUAAUCGAACCAUCUAGUAGCUGGUUCCUUCCGA
RNAcentral lists this ribosomal RNA (384 nucleotides) under Thracia phaseolina. RNAcentral describes it as "eukaryotic LSU rRNA". It matches the Rfam family "Eukaryotic large subunit ribosomal RNA", at positions 646 to 964 of the family's 3401-position model. The record is from RNAcentral. Lineage: Eukaryota; Metazoa; Mollusca; Bivalvia; Thraciidae.